AAGUCGUAACAAGGUUUCCGUAGGUGAACCUGCGGAAGGAUCAUCAACAGAAGGGAAAAGGCGUGGGUUUUCUCCACGAACCGUUCCCGAAUCCUGUAUUCACCCCAAGUUCCUUAAAAAUUUCAAUAAAAAACUCAUUGCAAAAGACCACCUUCGUUUCGGUGGCGUCUAAUGCACUUAGCGAAAACUUUCAACAACGGAUCUCUUGGCUCUC
Molecule: unclassified non-coding RNA, 214 nt
Filed under: fungal sp.
Lineage: Eukaryota; Fungi
Description: partial internal transcribed spacer region
Rfam family: Eukaryotic small subunit ribosomal RNA (bases 1-46)
Source: RNAcentral